RNAcentral lists this ribosomal RNA (372 nucleotides) under uncultured organism. Its description in RNAcentral is "bacterial SSU rRNA". It matches the Rfam family "Bacterial small subunit ribosomal RNA", at positions 526 to 896 of the family's 1533-position model. The record is from RNAcentral.
CAGAGGUCCCGAGCGUUAGGCGGAAUCACUGGGCUUAAAGCGUGUGUAGGCGGAUGCCUAAGUACCUUGUGAAAUCCCACGGCUCACCCGUGGAACUGCUUGGUAUACUGGGUGUCUUGAGCCACUUAGGGGCUACCGGAACAAAUGGUGGAGCGGUGAAAUGCGUAGAUAUCAUUUGGAACGCCAAUGGUGAAAACAGGCAGCUGGGAGUGUGCUGACGCUGAGACACGAAAGCCAGGGGAGCAAACGGGAUUAGAUACCCCGGUAGUCCUGGCUGUAAACGAUGUCGACUAGAUCGCGGUGGCUCUGACGCCAUCGCGGUCGAAGCAAAAGUGCUAAGUCGACCGCCUGGGAAGUACGGUCGCAAGGCUA